CCUACGGGUGGCAGCAGUGGGGAAUAUUGGACAAUGGGGGGAACCCUGAUCCAGCCAUGCCGCGUGUGUGAAGAAGGCCCUCGGGUUGUAAAGCACUUUCAGUGAGGAAGAACGCCUGGUGGUUAAUACCCAUCAGGAAAGACAUCACUCACAGAAGAAGCACCGGCUAACUCCGUGCCAGCAGCCGCGGUAAUACGGAGGGUGCGAGCGUUAAUCGGAAUUACUGGGCGUAAAGCGCGCGUAGGUGGCUUGAUAAGCCGGUUGUGAAAGCCCCGGGCUCAACCUGGGAACGGCAUCCGGAACUGUCAAGCUAGAGUGCAGGAGAGGAAGGUAGAAUUCCCGGUGUAGCGGUGAAAUGCGUAGAGAUCGGGAGGAAUACCAGUGGCGAAGGCGGCCUUCUGGUCUGACACUGACACUGAGGUGCGAAAGCGUGGGUAGCAAACAGGAUUAGAUACCCGAGUAGUC
RNAcentral lists this ribosomal RNA (465 nucleotides) under Vreelandella stevensii. Its description in RNAcentral is "partial 16S ribosomal RNA". It matches the Rfam family "Bacterial small subunit ribosomal RNA", at positions 338 to 795 of the family's 1533-position model. Lineage: Bacteria; Pseudomonadati; Pseudomonadota; Gammaproteobacteria; Oceanospirillales; Halomonadaceae. The record is from RNAcentral.